GUUGAAAUGGUAUUAUGGAUGAUUUUGUAACUUUGAAAAUGUGGAGAUGAAUCUACGGAAUCUUGUUCUAACCACUCACCUAUCACGAGCUUUAAGUGUUAGCAAAGUCAAUAUCGUUGGUUGCUAACUUCAACCAUGUUGACCUCAACGUUUAUCAAGAAGCAGGUGUUGAUGACCACUAUUUUGCGAAAUGGUUUGGUCUUUGGAAUCAGCAAUUUCUGGUCAUAACUUAACCUUUACAUAAAUGUGCAAUUAUCUUUGGUUUACUAUUCCUACCAGAAAAAGUUUAGAAAACAAUAAGGUGCCUAUCAUACACAAAACAGUUAUUUUUCAGUCACACUGUAAUGUCAAAUGUUUUGGAAAACACAAGUAGGAAGCAGAGGCCCUUUUUUAGGUUUAAAACAGCGGAGGGCCUUUGUUUGAGGGUGUUGUAUCAGUACACCACAAGGUGUUUUUCUUUUUGCUUUCUUUUAUGCCUUGUAUUUCAUAUAUUAUGAAUUGUAAAUAUUUUUGGGACCGGUAAGGUGUAUAAAAUACCUCAUCAAAGAGCCUUGCCAAUUCCUGAAACUGAUAUUUAAAGCUAUCACAGUUUAUUUAAGAGAAAUUAUAGCAUAUAGCUACAAUACACUGUAAUAAUUACAACUUUUAUAGUUCUCUAGGCCUGUAUCAUGAGCACAUUGUUAAUAAGGCGUCAGCUCCCAACACCUCAAAUUCUAAUUGCACGUGAGCAGUCGAGAUGCAUGCAAGUUGUUCUCCCCAUUCUACCAAUAUUGUAAGCAAUAGGUUGCCAUUUUUAGAAAUGUUUUUAGUGCUCAUUUUGCCAAUACAUGUUAUUUUAGUAAGUUCACAUCUUGUGGUUAACAUUUUUUUUUUCUCAUUGUUGUAUCAGACAUGCUUGUCCACUGGGUAAAAUUUAUAUUACUUGAUUCAGAAGACAAACCACAUGGCCAUCCUGACACAGAGAUUCUACAACUCACACAAAAGGUUACUGCAGAAGUCAGAACUACUGUACACUUAGAAUAGCUUGCAUGGUGAUGGCAGACUUACCAACAUCUAAACAGAGACCGUCUUUUUUUUGUUUUGUGUGUGUGUGUUAUUUGAAUUGGCAAUAAAUACAUUAUGGUUCAUUUCUGUAAUUCGGCUCUCAUACCCUAAUUACAUGAAAUUGCAACAUGUAUUUUAAGCCGUGAACAUUUGAAAUGGUCUGCAUGUAGAGAAUGAUGCCAGUUGAUCUCUGUUUAAACCUUGCAAGCGGGAAGGUGUCAGAUUUACUAUGAUCUCUUCUGGCACUUGUUAAUGUACGCCUCAUUUUGUGACAUGACUACAUGUGUCAUGUGCAUCUCCCACAGUUUUGUCAAUAUUUUAAAUAAAACAUUAGCUGGGAUCUCUGUACAUUCAUAGCAAGAAUUUUCUUUACAUGAAGUUACUGUUAAAUUGGCUAUAGUAUAAUAAAAAGCAUAUGCCACAUUUGAUUUGAAUUUAGUGUUUGAAAACUCAAGUCUGAAAUAUUUUAUUUAUAUAACCUUGUAUAUAUUUUGUCACUUUGAAAUGUAGAUUUUUACUUCCUUGUUAGUACUAUGAACUUAGCUAAUUAGAAACUUAACAAAUCACUUAUUAAAAUUAAA
Molecule: long non-coding RNA, 1625 nt
Organism: Oncorhynchus tshawytscha (Chinook salmon)
Lineage: Eukaryota; Metazoa; Chordata; Actinopteri; Salmoniformes; Salmonidae
Source: Ensembl